Molecule: ribosomal RNA, 466 nt
Filed under: uncultured bacterium
Lineage: Bacteria
Description: partial 16S ribosomal RNA
Rfam family: Bacterial small subunit ribosomal RNA
Source: RNAcentral
UGAACGCUGGCGGCGUGCUUAACACAUGCAAGUCGAACGGUGAAGGCGGAGCUUGCUCUGCUGGAUCAGUGGCGAACGGGUGAGUAACACGUGAGCAAUCUGCCCCUGACUCUGGGAUAAGCGCUGGAAACGGCGUCUAAUACUGGAUACGAGCUGCGAAGGCAUCUUCAGCAGCUGGAAAGAAUUUCGGUCAGGGAUGAGCUCGCGGCCUAUCAGCUUGUUGGUGAGGUAAUGGCUCACCAAGGCGUCGACGGGUAGCCGGCCUGAGAGGGUGACCGGCCACACUGGGACUGAGACACGGCCCAGACUCCUACGGGAGGCAGCAGUGGGGAAUAUUGCACAAUGGGCGAAAGCCUGAUGCAGCAACGCCGCGUGAGGGACGACGGCCCUCGGGUUGUAAACCUCUUUUAGCAGGGAAGAAGCGAAAGUGACGGUACCUGCAGAAAAAGCGCCGGCUAACUACGUG